GCCUGGUCACGUGAGUGAAUUUCCUCCUGGAUUGCAUUGAAUCUGCACUGUUUUGGAGACUGGCAGAUCCGUCGUUGAUAAAGCCACAUGUGCAGGGUCAUCAUCAGUUGAUGUACUUCCAUCCUAGCUGAUACUGUUGAUUUUUCCCUGCCAGGAAGCUUCCUGACACAGCCUGCACCCCAGUGGACUUCCCAAAGCAAGUUGAGUCUGACUUCGCACCCCUGACAUCAGAAUCAUCUGACUUCUGGGCACGCCACUGAAUACUGAUGUACCUGAAGGAACCCUGGGUACCAAACAUGCUCAAGUGAAUGAAUGGUGUCCAGGACAAAGCCCAGCAGGUGUCCAGACAAUGGCCUCCCACCAGAGAUCUUGUCAGCACGCCGCUCUGAGCACUGUGUGCCUUAGUGUCUUUGUGUCCUGGUUGCAAUGAAGUCUUUCUCCAUAAUGUCAGUUUUUAUACUUUUUGACCUAGUAGGACAUCAGAUGAUGAAUUUUCAUGUGAUAUGAAUUCAGCCUAGGUAUGUCUUAGGAUUG
This 534-nucleotide long non-coding RNA is filed under the name Homo sapiens (human). RNAcentral describes it as "long non-coding RNA NONHSAT175011.1". Lineage: Eukaryota; Metazoa; Chordata; Mammalia; Primates; Hominidae. The record is from RNAcentral.